This 132-nucleotide small RNA is filed under the name Klebsiella variicola. RNAcentral describes it as "RtT sRNA". It matches the Rfam family "RtT RNA". From Rfam's summary of the family: This family represents a bacterial cis-regulatory element known as RtT RNA. The exact function of RtT is unknown although it is thought that it may be involved in changing the cellular response in relation to amino acid starvation. The record is from RNAcentral. RNAcentral also lists the same sequence under 1 other name. Lineage: Bacteria; Pseudomonadati; Pseudomonadota; Gammaproteobacteria; Enterobacterales; Enterobacteriaceae.
UAUUCUACCCUACGGGGAAGGAUGAGAAGCUUCGACCAAGGUUCGACUCGAGCGUAGCGAGAGAACGUUGCCGCAGGCAACGGCCCGAAGGGCGAGGAGCGAUAGCGACGAGUUAUCCUUCCCCCACCACCA